GCCGCCGUCGUCUAGUGGUUAGGACGCUAGGUUUUCAUCCUAGUAACAGGAGUUCGAUUCUCCUCGGCGGUA
This 72-nucleotide transfer RNA is filed under the name Patescibacteria group bacterium. RNAcentral's name for it is "tRNA-Glu". It matches the Rfam family "tRNA". Rfam says of the family: Transfer RNA (tRNA) molecules are approximately 80 nucleotides in length. The record is from RNAcentral.